This 202-nucleotide long non-coding RNA is filed under the name Rattus norvegicus (Norway rat). Its description in RNAcentral is "long non-coding RNA NONRATT032738". Lineage: Eukaryota; Metazoa; Chordata; Mammalia; Rodentia; Muridae. The record is from RNAcentral.
CAGUGAGUUUGGAAUCCUACAUCCUAUUCUUUGAGGAUUACCCCUAUUGAUCUAAGAACAUCCCACUGGGCUCCCUCUCUUUAUUGUCAACCACUUCCCACGACCACACUGACAACCAAGCUUCUACCAUAUGAACCUUUUGGGAGACAAGAAAGUAAAGGUUUCUGCCAAGUAAAAACACAUGAAAAAAACAUAAUUGGAG